RNAcentral lists this ribosomal RNA (1475 nucleotides) under metagenome. Its description in RNAcentral is "bacterial SSU rRNA". It matches the Rfam family "Bacterial small subunit ribosomal RNA". The record is from RNAcentral.
AGAGUUUGAUCAUGGCUCAGAUUGAACGCUGGCGGUAUGCUUAACACAUGCAAGUCGAACGGUAACAGCGGAAGCUUGCUUCCGGCUGACGAGUGGCGGACGGGUGAGUAACGCGUGGGAAUCUGCCUACUAGUGGGGGAUAGCCCGGAGAAAUCCGGAUUAAUACCGCAUACGCCCUAAGGGGGAAAGCCGGGGAUCUUCGGACCUGGCACUAGUAGAUGAGCCCGCGUUGGAUUAGCUAGUUGGUGGGGUAAAAGCCCACCAAGGCGACGAUCCAUAGCUGCUCUGAGAGGAAGAUCAGCCACACUGGGACUGAGACACGGCCCAGACUCCUACAGGAGGCAGCAGUGGGGAAUAUUGCACAAUGGGCGCAAGCCUGAUGCAGCAAUACCGCGUGUGUGAAGAAGGCCUGAGGGUUGUAAAGCACUUUCAAUAGUGAAGAAAAGCUCAGAGUUAAUACCUCUGGGUCUUGACGUUAUCUAUACAAGAAGCACCGGCUAACUCCGUGCCAGCAGCCGCGGUAAUACGGAGGGUGCAAGCGUUAAUCGGAAUUACUGGGCGUAAAGCGUGCGUAGGCGGUUUACUAAGUCAGAUGUGAAAGCCCCGGGCUUAACCUGGGAACUGCAUUUGAUACUGGUAGACUAGAGUAUGAUAGAGGGGGGUAGAAUUCCUGGUGUAGCGGUGAAAUGCGUAGAUAUCAGGAGGAAUACCAGUGGCGAAGGCGGCCCCCUGGAUCAAUACUGACGCUGAGGUACGAAAGCGUGGGUAGCGAACAGGAUUAGAUACCCUGGUAGUCCACGCCGUAAACGAUGAGAACUAGCCGUCGGGGUCUUGAGGCCUCGGUGGCGCAGCUAACGCGUGAAGUUCUCCGCCUGGGGACUACGGCCGCAAGGCUAAAACUCAAAUGAAUUGACGGGGGCCGCACAAGCGGUGGAGCAUGUGGUUUAAUUCGAUGCAACGCGAAGAACCUUACCACCCCUUGACAUCCUCGGAACUUGUCAGAAAUGACUUGGUGCCUUCGGGAACCGAGUGACAGGUGCUGCAUGGCUGUCUUCAGCUCGUGUCGUGAGAUGUUGGGUUAAGUCCCGCAACGAGCGCAACCCUUGUCCUUAGUUGCCAUCAGUUCGGCUGGGAACUCUAAGGAGACUGCCGGUGAUAAACCGGAGGAAGGUGGGGAUGACGUCAAGUCAUCAUGGCCCUUAUGGGGUGGGCUACACACGUGCUACAAUGGUCGGUACAAAGGGUUGCCAAGUCGCAAGACGGAGCUAAUCCCACAAAGCCGAUCGUAGUCCGGAUUGGGGUCUGCAACACGACCCCAUGAAGUCGGAAUCGCUAGUAAUCGUGAAUCAGAAUGUCGCGGUGAAUACGUUCCCGGGCCUUGUACACACCGCCCGUCACACUAUGGGAGUGGGCUGCAAAAGAAGUAGGUAGCUUAACCUUCGGGAGGGCGCUUACCACUUUGUGGUUCAUGACUG